This 448-nucleotide ribosomal RNA is filed under the name uncultured bacterium. RNAcentral describes it as "bacterial SSU rRNA". It matches the Rfam family "Bacterial small subunit ribosomal RNA", at positions 328 to 793 of the family's 1533-position model. The record is from RNAcentral.
AAACCAGACUCCUACGGGAGGCAGCAGUGGGGAAUAUUGCACAAUGGGGGAAACCCUGAUGCAGCGACGCCGCGUGAGUGAAGAAGUAAUUCGUUAUGUAAAGCUCUAUCAGCAGGGAAGAAAAUGACGGUACCUGAGUAAGAAGCCCCGGCUAACUACGUGCCAGCAGCCGCGGUAAUACGUAGGGGGCAAGCGUUAUCCGGAUUUACUGGGUGUAAAGGGGGCGCAGACGGCGAUGCAAGCCAGGAGUGAAAGCCCGGGGCCCAACCCCGGGACUGCUCUUGGAACUGCGUGGCUGGAGUGCGGGAGGGGCAGGCGGAAUUCCUGGUGUAGCGGUGAAAUGCGUGGAUAUCAGGAGGAACACCAGUGGCGAAGGCGGCUUACUGGACUGUAACUGACGUUGAGGCUCGAAAGCGUGGGGAGCAAACAGGAUUAGAUACCCCAGUAU